CCUACGGGGGGCAGCAGUGGGGGAUAUUGCACAAUGGGGGAAACCCUGAUGCAGCGACGCCGCGUGUGGGAAGACGGUCCUCUGGAUUGUAAACCACUGUCCCCAGGGACGAAGAUGACGGUACCUGGGGAGGAAGCUCCGGCUAACUACGUGCCAGCAGCGGCGGUAAUACGUAGGGAGCGAGGGUUGUCCGGAAUUACUGGGGGAAAAGGGAGCGUAGGCGGGGAUGCAGGUUGGGUGUCAAAACUACCGGCUAAACUGGUAGUCGCACUUAAAACUGCAGCUCUUGAGUGAAGUAGAGGCAGGCGGAAUUCUUAGUGUAGCGGUGAAAUGCGUAGAUAUUAGGAGGAACACUAGUGGCGAAGGCGGCCUGCUGGGCUUUUACUGACGCUGAGGCUCGAAAGUGUGGGGAGCAAACAGGAUUAGAUACCCUUGUAGUC
Molecule: ribosomal RNA, 440 nt
Filed under: uncultured bacterium
Lineage: Bacteria
Description: partial 16S ribosomal RNA
Rfam family: Bacterial small subunit ribosomal RNA
Source: RNAcentral